This 30-nucleotide non-coding RNA is filed under the name Mus musculus (house mouse). Lineage: Eukaryota; Metazoa; Chordata; Mammalia; Rodentia; Muridae. The record is from RNAcentral.
UCCACAGAGCCGCACAACCCCAGCACGAUA